RNAcentral lists this non-coding RNA (139 nucleotides) under Desulfovibrionaceae bacterium. The record is from RNAcentral. Lineage: Bacteria; Pseudomonadati; Thermodesulfobacteriota; Desulfovibrionia; Desulfovibrionales; Desulfovibrionaceae.
GGAACACGGUGCGAUUCCGUGGCGAUCCCAUCGCCGUAACCGGGGACUGGGGGGACGCGGGGCCCAGGGCCCAGCCACUGCGCGGAAUAUUCCGCGCGGGAAGGCCGUCUCCGCCGGGCUGAUCCGGAAGCCGGAAGAC